GAUGAACGCUGGCGGCGUGCCUAAUACAUGCAAGUCGAGCGAACGGACGAGAAGCUUGCUUUUCUGAUGUUAGCGGCGGACGGGUGAGUAACACGUGGAUAACCUACCUAUAAGACUGGGAUAACUUCGGGAAACCGGAGCUAAUACCGGAUAAUAUUUUGAACCGCAUGGUUCAACAGUGAAAGACGGUCUUGCUGUCACUUAUAGAUGGAUCCGCGCUGCAUUAGCUAGUUGGUAAGGUAACGGCUUACCAAGGCAACGAUGCAUAGCCGACCUGAGAGGGUGAUCGGCCACACUGGAACUGAGACACGGUCCAGACUCCUACGGGAGGCAGCAGUAGGGAAUCUUACGCAAUGGGCGAAAGCCUGACGGAGCAAAGCCGCGUGAGUGAUGAAGGUCUUCGGAUCGUAAAACUCUGUUAUUAGGGAAGAACAUAUGUGUAAGUAACUGUGCACAUCUUGACGGUACCUAAUCAGAAAGCCACGGCUAACUACGUG
This 497-nucleotide ribosomal RNA is filed under the name uncultured bacterium. Its description in RNAcentral is "partial 16S ribosomal RNA". It matches the Rfam family "Bacterial small subunit ribosomal RNA", at positions 28 to 507 of the family's 1533-position model. The record is from RNAcentral.